CAUAAGCAAUGGCUUGGUUAAGGGAACCCACCGGAGCCGUAGCGAAAGCGAGUCUUCAUAGGGCAAUUGUCAUUGCUUAUGGACCCAAACUUGGGUGAUCUAUCCAUGACCAGGAUGAAGCUUAGGUGAAACUAAGUGGAGGUCUGAAUUGACUGAUGUUGAAGAAUCAAAGGAUGAGUUGUGGUUAGGGGUGAAAUGCCACUCGAAUCCAGAGCUAGCUGG
Gossypium raimondii (Peruvian cotton) is the source of this 222-nucleotide non-coding RNA. The record is from Rfam. NCBI's taxonomy places the organism in Eukaryota, Viridiplantae, Streptophyta, Magnoliopsida, Malvales, Malvaceae.